RNAcentral lists this ribosomal RNA (444 nucleotides) under uncultured bacterium. RNAcentral describes it as "SSU rRNA". It matches the Rfam family "Bacterial small subunit ribosomal RNA", at positions 26 to 518 of the family's 1533-position model. The record is from RNAcentral.
AGAGCGAACGCUGGCGGCAGGCCUAACACAUGCAAGUCGAGCGCCCGUAGCAAUACGGGAGCGGCAGACGGGAUAGUAACACGUGAGAACGCGCCCUUCGGUUCGGAAUAACUCAGGGAAACUUGAGCUAAUACCGGAUACGCCCUUACGGGGAAAGAUUUAUUGCCGAAGGAACGGCCCGCGUCCGAUUAGCUAGUUGGUGAGGUAAUGGCUCACCAAGGCGACGAUCGGUAGCUGGUCUGAGAGGAUGACCAGCAUCACUGGGACUGAGACACGGCCCAGACUCCUACGAGAGGCAGCAGUGGGAAUAUUGGACAAUGGGCGCAAGCCUGAUCCAGCCAUGCCGCGUGGAUGAUGAAGGCCUUAGGGUUGUAAAGUCCUUUAACGGGAAGAUAAUGACGGUACCCGUAGAAUAAGCCCGGCUAACUUCGUGCCAGCAGCCGC